RNAcentral lists this ribosomal RNA (379 nucleotides) under uncultured bacterium. Its description in RNAcentral is "bacterial SSU rRNA". It matches the Rfam family "Bacterial small subunit ribosomal RNA", at positions 28 to 409 of the family's 1533-position model. The record is from RNAcentral.
GACGAACGCUGGCGGCGUGCUUAACACAUGCAAGUCGAGCGGUAAGGCCCUUUUGGGGGUACACGAGCGGCGAACGGGUGAGUAACACGUGGGUGACCUGCCUUCAGCUUCGGGAUAAGCUUGGGAAACUGGGUCUAAUACCGGAUAUGACUUGGCCUCGCAUGGGGUUGGGUGGAAAGUUUUUUCGGCUGGAGAUGGGCCCGCGGCCUAUCAGCUUGUUGGUGGGGUGAUGGCCUACCAAGGCGACGACGGGUAGCCGGCCUGAGAGGGCGACCGGCCACACUGGGACUGAGAUACGGCCCAGACUCCUACGGGAGGCAGCAGUGGGGAAUCUUGCGCAAUGGGCGGAAGCCUGACGCAGCGACGCCGCGUGGGGGAU